CGCCCAAGAGUUCAUAUCGACGGCGGUGUUUGGCACCUCGAUGUCGGCUCAUCACAUCCUGGGGCUGAAGUAGGUCCCAAGGGUAUGGCUGUUCGCCAUUUAAAGUGGUACGCGAGCUGGGUUUAGAACGUCGUGAGACAGUUCGGUCCCUAUCUGCCGUGGGCGCUGGAGAAUUGAGGGGGGCUGCUCCUAGUACGAGAGGACCGGAGUGGACGCAUCACUGGUGUUCGGGUUGUCAUGCCAAUGGCACUGCCCGGUAGCUAAAUGCGGAAGAGAUAAGUGCUGAAAGCAUCUAAGCACGAAACUUGCCCCGAGAUGAGUUCUCCCUGAGACUUUAAGUCUCCUGAAGGAACGUUAAAGACGAUGACGUUGAUAGGCCGGGUGUGUAAGCGCAGCGAUGCGUUGAGCUAACCGGUACUAAUGAACCGUGAGGCUUAACCUUACAACGCCGAAG
Molecule: ribosomal RNA, 454 nt
Filed under: Klebsiella pneumoniae
Lineage: Bacteria; Pseudomonadati; Pseudomonadota; Gammaproteobacteria; Enterobacterales; Enterobacteriaceae
Description: bacterial LSU rRNA
Rfam family: Bacterial large subunit ribosomal RNA
Source: RNAcentral